Jaculus jaculus (lesser Egyptian jerboa) is the source of this 107-nucleotide small nuclear RNA. The record is from Ensembl. NCBI's taxonomy places the organism in Eukaryota, Metazoa, Chordata, Mammalia, Rodentia, Dipodidae.
GUGCUCGCUUCGGCAGCACAUAUGCCAAAAGUGGAAUGAUACAGAGAAUUUUAGCAUAGCCCCUGCACAAGAAUGGCAUGCAAAUUCAUGCAGCAUUCCAUAUUUUU